Molecule: ribosomal RNA, 220 nt
Filed under: uncultured microorganism
Description: partial small subunit ribosomal RNA
Rfam family: Bacterial small subunit ribosomal RNA
Source: RNAcentral
UACGUAGGGUGCAAGCGUUAAUCGGAAUUACUGGGCGUAAAGCGUGCGCAGGCGGUUAUGUAAGACAGAUGUGAAAUCCCCGGGCUCAACCUGGGAACUGCAUUAGUGACUGCAUAGCUGGAGUACGGCAGAGGGGGAUGGAAUUCCGCGUGUAGCAGUGAAAUGCGUAGAUAUGCGGAGGAACACCGAUGGCGAAGGCAAUCCCCCUGGGCCUGUACUG